CCUACGGGAGGCAGCAGUGAGGAAUAUUGGUCAAUGGACGCAAGUCUGAACCAGCCAUGCCGCGUGCAGGAAGACGGCUCUAUGAGUUGUAAACUGCUUUUGUACGAGGGUAAACGCCGAUACGUGUAUAUGUCUGCAAGUAUCGUACGAAUAAGGCUCGGCUAACUCCGUGCCAGCAGCCGCGGUAAUACGGAGGAUCCAAGCGUUAUCCGGAUUUAUUGGGUUUAAAGGGUGCGUAGGCGGUAGGGUAAGUUAGAGGUGAAAUCCCGUGGCUCAACUUUGGAAUUGCCUUUGAUACUGUUCGGCUGGAGUGGAGGUGAGGUAGGCGGAAUGUAUGGUGUAGCGGUGAAAUGCUUAGAGAUCAGACAGAACACCGAUUGCGAAGGCAGCUUACCAGGCUACUACUGACGUUGAGGCUCGAAAGCGUGGGGAGCAAACAGGAUUAGAUACCCUUGUAGUC
RNAcentral lists this ribosomal RNA (460 nucleotides) under uncultured bacterium. Its description in RNAcentral is "partial 16S ribosomal RNA". It matches the Rfam family "Bacterial small subunit ribosomal RNA", at positions 338 to 795 of the family's 1533-position model. The record is from RNAcentral.